This is a non-coding RNA of Vicugna pacos (alpaca), 5760 nucleotides long. The record is from RefSeq and is a predicted model, not a curated record. Lineage: Eukaryota; Metazoa; Chordata; Mammalia; Artiodactyla; Camelidae.
AAGCCCAUAUUUACCCAAGUAGCACUUUCAUCUGGAACAAAAAAACCUGGAGGAUAUUUUUAGUAGUAGUCCUGGUCAUAGCAAAUGCAUCUGCUCUGGUGAUUUCAAACUGCCUGUCUACUUUGAUCCACGUGUUUUACUGGACAGUGUGGCAUCAAAAAUUGCUGUUGCAGGUGUUUUCUAAAGACCCGAGGAGACAAACUGCUUUGGAAGACAGUGUGGCAUGGCAGAUUAAAGAGCAUGGGCUUCAGUCAUGAGACCUGACAGGCAUAAAUUCAGGAUACCAGAUAAGCAUCUACGAUCUGACAAGGAAGUAGCGAUUUGGUGUGGUGGUGUUUUUCUUUUCCCAGAGAGGAGUAAGCAGAGCCCUGGGUUUUGACAAAUUCAAAUAUUGCAGCGUAUUAUAAAAGAAGAAGAGAAAAAGGCAUGGAACUGAUUCCCAUCUCACGGUGCCAAAAGGAAAACAGGUUCGGUGCCACAGAUGUGUUUUCUGCCCUGGGAACCCUCCAUUGCAUCUCUGUCCUCCUGCCUGCCUAUCCAUGGACAGUAUGGGAGAUGUACCUGCGAAUCAUUUGACUUGUCAUCCUCAAGAAUGUCACGUGAAUAUUAUGUUUUGAAUUAUUUAAUAUUUUGGGGGCUUUUCAGAGUAGUUAAAAUGUGUCUGGAUUCUGCUGGAAGAAUUACAGGUAAAAUAUAUUUUGCUUCUGCUCUUCUAAGAUAAAACUGCAUUGUGUGUAUAUUCAAAAGAUCAAAGUUAAAAAAAAAAGUGCUUCCUACAUAAGAAAAGUGGUAUAAAUACCAAAAAAAGGACUGACCCCCUCUGUGCUCCAUACUUAAACAUGAAUGAAUUUCAGGCUAUUUACCUGACUAAAAUAAACUGUUACGCUAUGAUUCUUAGAGAAUCCUACAAAAAGCUUUUAUAAUUUAUUUUUGUCCUGCUUUGAUUUGUUUACUCAAAGCAGGUCCAUUGUUUCAGGGACAAGAGGAGAAAGAUUUGUUACAUCAUGAAGUGCUAAGAAGCCUUUCAGCGGAGGGAAGAUACACAAUGUACAAAGCAGCUAAAACAAAUCAUAUGGUAUAACCUGUUAAGGAUGUAAUUGAGAUACAUGUAAUCAUUAACCUUGGAACAGACUGGGAAUCCGUUAAUGAAUCAAAUCAAUACCCUCUCCACUGAUCCAUAAUAAUUUGAAAGAAAUGAAAAAUUUAACAGUUACUGUAUGUGAGGUUAUCAUGGGCUGCAAUUAGCUAGCCUCUAGGAGAUUAUGUUACCUAGUUACCAGAAGGUAAGUAUAAUUUCCGUAGAUCUUCUGAAAAGAUUGUCAUAAAGACAGGUGCCAGACAUGGAAAUGGGUCAGGAAAAGAUACCUGGUACGGCCAAAACCCAAGUUAUCUUUCUGUCAUUUCAUUCCGUAUAUCCUUCUUACGACAUUUCAUACUCCCAGUUAAUGUGGAUGUAGUGCUUUGAAAAGACAUUACAAUUGAAUUUUGUAAGUUUGGAAAAAGUGAUUAUCCCUUUUUAUAUCUUACUACAUGUCUAGCUCUCACAAGAGAUGGCAACGAGGUCAAGGCAAAAAUUCUGCAGUUGGGAGCAGAAAAACACAUGAGCUUUCUGCUGUAGGCAAGAUACUUGUGUAUGAAAAUACUUCAUGUUUGUACAACUCCCUCGCCUUAACGUUUCCAGCAGGUCAUUAUUGCCAGUGGAAUUUUAUAGAGGGAAAGUGGGGAGGAAGGAAUGUCUUGCCUCUACUGAACCCCCCCCACCAAGUUUUUUUACAUCCUCAUUUGACAAGUAGUAUGUAGCACCCUACAAAAGUGUGGAAAGAGCAAAAUGAUCCCAAGGCCCAUGGCUUUUAUAUAUAUUGCUUUUAUGUAAAUCGGAGCUAGAAAAAACAAUCUUGGUAUGUGAAGUUCCUUAGGAAAAUCUCAUUUUGGGGGAGAUAUAAAAAGAGAUACUGCCAUUCUCUAGGGAAUCAGUAAAUAAAACGGAGAACAGAAUUUUUUUAAAAUGCAUGUAAAAUAUAUGCGUAUGGAAAUGUUAAGAGCCUUAUUUUAUAAUGCCAAGGAGGGCACAAGAUAAAAACUGUUGUCAUUUGUUUCCAGGGAAAGCAGUCGGUGAGACCCAGGCACAGUAGGAUAGUUAGUUAGCUACCACAUGUAAAGCUGAGAGCAGAUGGCGCCGCCGAUAUAGAGCGCAGGAAUGUGCGUGUUUAUGCGGGUGCGUUUCUGUGCGUGUGCGUGUGGAAACCAGCAAGGAGUUUGACACUGAUGUACUCCAUCAAGUCCAGUUAUAAAGAACAAGUAGAUAGAACAACAUUCUGUGCAUCUGGCAGCCUAACUAGCUCUGUCAAUCUGUGGAUACUGCUGACAUUGUACUAUAAGCUUCGAUUCCAUCUGUGUUGUUUAUUUUGAGCUGGAUUUACUGCACACUAUGUGAAUUGAUGAUGGCUAGAAGGUCCAAAAGAUUCCGAGUCUGUUUAAAGUUCCAAGGUGUCAAAUUACACAGGAUUGUGUCACGAACAUUAUGAAAGGGUGAGUGGAGAGGCAAACUGAUUUGAGUAUUUGUUAGACGUCCAAGAAAAAUUGCCGAAAAUAUAGAUGAAGAAGGUUUAUGAAAACAUCUACAGAGUACAUACGAACUCCUGCAAUCAAAUGUUUCUUUUUCAAGUUGUAUUGUGUCAUUUUAAAAAAUUCAAAAUAUGUACAAACAAAUAGACAAGUCAAAUCAGCUCUCCAUUCUGAGGUUGUGACAUGCAUAUUAUUCAAAACUUCCUGAUCGGUACCAUACUAAAUUGCCAGAAUAAAGGCAUGGACUUGAUGGGUGAGGGUUACACCUGCCUUCUUUCUGAAUAGCUAGAACUGAGAAACAAGCAUGUGUCUAUGCACUCACUAUUAAGUUACUCUAAGUUACUUCAGCUUCUUUCUGUAUAAUGAGACAUUUUUAAAUCUUUCUACUGUACUGUUAUGAAACAGGCUUUGUUAUCAUCACCAAGAAAUCACUAGAUAUAUAAAUGUAUACAAUAUUCAUUAAAAAUUGUAUUCUUAGCUGAGAAAAACUAUUUGAUGUAGGUCAUCUAUAUCAAGGCUUUUGUCUGUUUUAAUUUUUAACAUAACAUGCAGCUAAAUGCUAUGCCUGUAUAGUGCCAGAACAGUCCUAAGAACACAGAGAAAGGGGAUUUAAUGGUUCAGGUGUUAUAUAGGCAUCUAUAUAUCUGAUGGCAUUUAUUUCAUGUGGUUGUCCUUGUGUGGUGAGUACCCCAGAUUAGAAUUUUUCUGCACUACAAAUGAUGCAGACUAGAUUAUGUGAAGUUUGGCUCGUCCUCAUUGAAGGAAAAAAGCAUUCUUCUUAUGGUAUAAAAAUUUCAAUUCAUGCUUUUAACCCCCAUUUACUUAGAGUUGAAUUCAGUUGAAUUGUGUUAUUGAACACAGGCAUAUCUAUAUGAGUUUGAAAAUGUUCUUAGAAAGGACAAUCAUCUUGCCUCCUUUGUCUCAGAGCUAGGAGAGCAAACAGUCUAUGAAAGUAGCUCAUUUGCUUGAUAAUCCUUAAUAUUCAUUGUUCAUAAGUAUUUAUUCAUAUUUAUAGUAUCUGUUAAGUAAUUGGAACGCACGGCAAUAUAUUAAUACGAUUCCUAUCCUCAAGAAACUUUACUAUAGAGUUGAUGAGUUAAGCUAUCCUUAUAAAAAUGUGAAUAGCAAUACAUAUUAAAUAUCAAUUUAAAAAUACAAGGAUGGCACAAAGUAGACUAAAAUUAAGUUAGAAGCAUUUACUUUAGUCUUCUGUUGGACACUAGACUGGAGGCUUCCCCUCCAUUAGGUAUUUCACCUAACUCAUCAACUCUAUGAGAUGUGCCCUUCUUCCCUGAUAAGACAGAAGCUAGGGAUGUGAAUGUCAUUUGUCUGAAUGAUAUAGCCACUAAGUAACUGAAUAAGGCUUUACUCUGAUCCACCUCCACAAACAUACAUCUCACAUCUGUUUUAAGAAAUGUAAAGGCUUGUAAGGAGUAACAUACAAAAUGUUAGAACAUAAUGUAGCAGUGCUGAAACAGAUGUAUACAUGGGGAGCGAUAAGAACAGAGCAGAGGGCAUCUAGCUCAGAAAGCUGAUGGAGCUUAACAGAGAAGGAAAAGUGACUUGCUUCCCAGACAGGCACAGGCAUGAGGCAAAUACAGGGAUGAACAAAAGGCAGGACAAGGAAUGUAACUUUUGCAGCACAUCCUGGCAAUCCGUGUGGGCCACUGAUUUUCCACAGUGAUAUUAUGCAUUCAUAAUAGGACAGAAUAGGAAGUAAUCCCAGUAUACUGAGGUAAUAUGGAAAGACAUGAGUCAGCGGAAGACCAAGCUCACUCAAAAGAUUUUGAAUAGAAAGUUAAAUAAAUAAUUGGAUAUUGUAGGUGAAGUUAAAAGGGACCAACAAAUAUUUGGAGAUAAAGAUGUAAGCCAAUAUGGCAGAUUGAAGGAUGUACAGGCCAAUAUGGUAGAUAUGUUCAUUUUCCAUUCAGGCCAUCAAUUGCCUUAUACAAGCUUGGAACUUGUUAUUAUCUGUCUAGAACUGGACUGCCACCUCUAAAAUCCUAAAUUGCUUUCUCUGACAACAACUUCAUUCAGUCAUCCCUGUCUCCAAACUGAUCAAGACCUUUAAUCCUCAAAAUUAUGUGUUUCUUAUCAGACUCAAUCUAAUGCCUAACUAACUUAGAUUCCCUGGUCUGCCCCUUCAACCUCUCUUUUUACUUCAAAUUUCUUGCCAAAUUUUCCUUCUAUAUUACAUUUUCCUUGGAAAAACCUUAAGAUCAGAUCAAUUCUUCCUUAGUUCCUGACCUCUCUUUCCCAUUAUUCAAAAAAGUUAUCUCCAUUCUCCUUUAUGCUAGCUAUCUUUUUACCCUCAGCUUAUUAUCCCUCCACAAAGAAAGCAGAACCCAUCAUCCAAACACUACAAGCAAAGGGACUUCAGUACCAUGGCUUCUAACUCUUCCAUCACACAUAUAGAUGUGUUAUUCCUUCUGCAUGAGGCCAAUCCUUCCAUCUGUGCUUUGGAUUCUCCUUCCCCCUCCCCUAUCUCAGGUUUUCAAGGACCACAGUUCCUUAAAAAUCUUGUGUUUUCCAUUUUUUAACCCCAGAUUUCCAUGUGUUUACUGGCUCCUUCUCAAAAAUUAGUGCUUCAAUAUACCUAAGUCUCCAAUUUUAAAAACAACCCAAUGCCUUUGUCCUCUAGUCACUCUUGAGCUACUGUCCUAUUUUUCCCUUUCAUAGGGAAACUUCUUGAAAAAGUGUCCUACAGUCAAUGUUUUCCCCUGGCCUCACUUUCUGUGCAUCCCCCAGACCACUGCAAUCUGGACAUCACCCCAAGAAUUUCCUGAAACUGUUUUUAAAUGCCUUGUUUCUAAAUCUCUAAUGGGUACUCUUGCCUUAUUUACUUGUAGAACUUGAUAUUGCUGACUAAUUUCUCAUCUUAAAACAUAAUUUCCUUGGUUUAAUGAUACCACACACUGUCAUUGUCUUUGUCUUUCUCUUCCACUGCCAUUUCUCUAAAUAUUAGUGUCUUCAGGGCUGUCUCUUAGGCCCUUGGCUCUUAUCAUUCUGUACAUUCUUCUGAGGAGCAUCAUUUAUAGUUUUAAUUACCCCUAUAUGCUUAUAGCUUCAUUUACAUCUUCACAUGAAAGCAAUCCAAGGAAUAAAUCCUCAAGCACUAUUUUCUUAUGAGCCUCAGUAAGUCCUGUAUAUUUAACUACUCAACUUCUCUGCUUGGCUGUAGCCAUCUGAAAGGCU